GAUGAACGCUAGCGGCAGGCCUAACACAUGCAAGUCGAGGGAGGAGCUUUCGGGCUUCGACCGGCGUACGGGUGCGUAACGCGUAUACAAUCUGCCUUUCACAUAGGGAUAGCCCGAAGAAAUUUGGAUUAAUACCUAAUGGUAUAUAGAGGUGGCAUCACCUUUAUAUUAAAGCUGAGGCGGUGAAAGAUGAGUAUGCGUUCUAUUAACUAGUUGGAGAGGUAACGGCUCCCCAAGGCGACGAUAGAUAGGGGUUCUGAGAGGGAUAUCCCCCACACUGGUACUGAGAUACGGACCAGACUCCUACGGGAGGCAGCAGUGAGGAAUAUUGGACAAUGGUCGGAAGACUGAUCCAGCCAUGCCGCGUGCAGGAAGACGGCCUUAUGGGUUGUAAACUGCUUUUGCAGGGGAAGAAUAAGGACUACGCGUAGUUUGAUGACGGUACUCUGCGAAUAAGCAUCGGCUAACUCCGUG
This 474-nucleotide ribosomal RNA is filed under the name uncultured bacterium. RNAcentral describes it as "partial 16S ribosomal RNA". It matches the Rfam family "Bacterial small subunit ribosomal RNA", at positions 28 to 507 of the family's 1533-position model. The record is from RNAcentral.